UACGUAGGUGGCAAGCGUUGUCCGGAAUUAUUGGGCGUAAAGCGCGCGCAGGCGGUCCUUUAAGUCUGAUGUGAAAGGCCACGGCUCAACCGUGGAGGGUCAUUGGAAACUGGGGGACUUGAGUGCAGGAGAGAAGAGUGGAAUUCCACGUGUAGCGGUGAAAUGCGUAGAGAUGUGGAGGAACACCGGUGGCGAAGGCGGCAUCCUGGACCGGCAUUGACGCUGAGGCGCGAAAGCUAGGGGAGCAAACGGG
This 253-nucleotide ribosomal RNA is filed under the name uncultured bacterium. RNAcentral describes it as "partial 16S ribosomal RNA". It matches the Rfam family "Bacterial small subunit ribosomal RNA", at positions 524 to 776 of the family's 1533-position model. The record is from RNAcentral.